UUUUUAGUGGGUGAAGUUCAGUCUUCAGUUUUUAUUUUUAGUCACCUAACUAUAGCCAACUCCUCAGUCAUUUUCUCUGGAUAACUUUUGGAGAUCCUGACAGUUUUGGGAUUAAAACAUUUACUGUUAGUUUGCAUGUAAACUAGUUAUACUGUGUUCACAGAGUGGCCAGUUAUGGGACCAUAGGCAACAACUGCCCCCUUAGUGUCUUUCAUACCAUUACCAUCAUCACCAGAAACUCCAGGUGCCCCAAGCUUAAAGCAAAAAUCCUGAAGUACAUCAGCUCCUCCCUUGCAACGUGCUGGGUUUGGAACAUGCUGUUAAAAUAUCAGAGUUCC
Molecule: long non-coding RNA, 338 nt
Filed under: Homo sapiens (human)
Lineage: Eukaryota; Metazoa; Chordata; Mammalia; Primates; Hominidae
Description: non-protein coding lnc-ZNF430-1:1
Source: RNAcentral